UUCACAUUGUAAUACUGAGACCCUCAACUCUCAGACCACACAGUCUCAUUCCAGUUAAGCCUUUAUUGCUGGCUCUUGGCAGACACUCUGCUCUCAAAAGAAUGAGAUGGUCAGAGUGCUGCCCCUGCCUUCAGUUGGCUCCAUAUUUAAGCACAAAAACCACAAAAGGGACAUUUGGGGUUCAGGCAAAGCAAGCAAGGCUGAAAGUUGCAGUCAGUCAGUCUGCAGUUGGCACCAUAGAUCAUUCUGUGUUCUUGGGGGAUUUUCAUGAACAAAAGAAUGCAAACUGCCCCAGUCAUGACAUUUUUGUGUGUCAUGGCUAAGUUCACAAAAUGGAGUCACCAUAGUCAAGUUGUCACAUCACACACAUAAAAACAGCUUUUUUUCUUUCUCUGUUCUGACCAAGUUAAC
RNAcentral lists this long non-coding RNA (411 nucleotides) under Marmota monax (woodchuck). Lineage: Eukaryota; Metazoa; Chordata; Mammalia; Rodentia; Sciuridae. The record is from RNAcentral.